This 460-nucleotide ribosomal RNA is filed under the name uncultured bacterium. RNAcentral's name for it is "partial 16S ribosomal RNA". It matches the Rfam family "Bacterial small subunit ribosomal RNA", at positions 338 to 795 of the family's 1533-position model. The record is from RNAcentral.
CCUACGGGUGGCAGCAGUGAGGAAUAUUGGUCAAUGGCCGAGAGGCUGAACCAGCCAAGUAGCGUGCAGGAUGACGGCCCUACGGGUUGUAAACUGCUUUUAUACGGGAAUAACGCGCCUUACGUGUAGGGCUUUGCAUGUACCGUAUGAAUAAGGACCGGCUAAUUCCGUGCCAGCAGCCGCGGUAAUACGGAAGGUCCGGGCGUUAUCCGGAUUUAUUGGGUUUAAAGGGAGCGUAGGCCGCAUGUCAAGCGUGCUGUGAAAUGUCCGGGCUCAACCCGGGCCUUGCAGCGCGAACGGGCGUGCGUGAGUCCGCGGAAAGCAGGCGGAAUUCGUCGUGUAGCGGUGAAAUGCUUAGAUAUGACGAAGAACCCCGAUUGCGAAGGCAGCUUGCUGCAGCGGAACUGACGCUGAUGCUCGAAAGCGCGGGUAUCGAACAGGAUUAGAUACUCGUGUAGUC